This 212-nucleotide ribosomal RNA is filed under the name uncultured bacterium. RNAcentral describes it as "partial 16S ribosomal RNA". It matches the Rfam family "Bacterial small subunit ribosomal RNA", at positions 28 to 240 of the family's 1533-position model. The record is from RNAcentral.
GAUAAACGCUGGCGGCGUGCCUUAUGCAUGCAAGUCGAACGAGACCAAGGCUUCGGCCUGAAGUCUAGCGGCGGACGGGUGAGUAACACGUACGUGACCUGUCCGGAAGUGGGAAUAACCAGCCGAAAGGUUGGCUAAUACCGCAUACGGUUACUGCUUGGAAGCAGCAAACCAAAGUACGCAAGACGCUUCCGGAGGGGCGUGGCGGCCGA